AGGGGGUUAGGUUAAGGUAGACUGUUAGCCUUCAAAGCUAAAGAUGUGGGUGCAAGUCCCAUCCCCCCUG
This 70-nucleotide transfer RNA is filed under the name Corallimorphus profundus. RNAcentral's name for it is "tRNA-Trp". It matches the Rfam family "tRNA". From Rfam's summary of the family: Transfer RNA (tRNA) molecules are approximately 80 nucleotides in length. The record is from RNAcentral. Lineage: Eukaryota; Metazoa; Cnidaria; Anthozoa; Corallimorpharia; Corallimorphidae.